UCUAAUAUGGCAGAUUAGUGCAAUGAAUUUAAGCUUCAUAUAUAAAGUUUUGACUUUUAUUAGAA
This 65-nucleotide transfer RNA is filed under the name Anthomyza sp. DY-2021. RNAcentral's name for it is "tRNA-Leu". Lineage: Eukaryota; Metazoa; Arthropoda; Insecta; Diptera; Anthomyzidae. The record is from RNAcentral.